Molecule: ribosomal RNA, 441 nt
Filed under: uncultured bacterium
Lineage: Bacteria
Description: partial 16S ribosomal RNA
Rfam family: Bacterial small subunit ribosomal RNA
Source: RNAcentral
CCUACGGGAGGCAGCAGUAGGGGAUAUUGCGCAAUGGGGGGAACCCUGAUGCAGCAACGCCGCGUGGGUGAAGGAGCGUUUCGGCGCGUAAAGCCCUGUCGGCAGGGAAGAAGGAGGGCGUUACCUAACUAAGAAGCCCCGGCUAACUACGUGCCAGCAGCCGCGGUAAUACGUAGGGGGCAAGCGUUAUCCGGAUGUACUGGGUGUAAGGGGGGCGCAGACGGCAGCGCAAGCCAGGGGGGAAAGCCCGGGGCUCAACCGCGGGCAGGCUCUUGGAACUGGGCGGCUGGAGUGCGGGAGGGGAAGGCGGAAUUCCUGGUGUAGCGGUGAAAUGCGUAGAGAUCAGGAGGAACACCGGUGGCGAAGGCGGCUUGCUGGACUGUGACUGACGUUGAGGUCCGAAAGCGUGGGGAGCAAACAGGAUUAGAUACCCUUGUAGUC